GCACUGAGUAAUGUUCCACGGUCUGGUUGUGCUGCAGUUUUUUGACCCAUUCACCUCCUGGAGGACAUCUUGGUUGCUUCCAAGCUUUGGCAGGCAAGGAGCAAUACCUUUUGCAAUUCAGGAUUGCCAGGCCAGUGGACUGCUGUUCUCGCUGUUCCAGCUAUCUGUUUGCGGCAAUUUCCAUCCAUUCCAAUAAAAAAGGGCAUCGCAGUGCAUUUCCACAGCACAGUGACCUGAAUUUGCUGGGAGAGCCUGUACUUUGUCAGUUAACCAUGGUCAACCACAGACCGGAAGCAGACGAUCUUCCUUCUAACCCAAUGUCAGAAGGUCAGCAGUUGUCACACGCUAUGUCCAAUGCCUGCGUCGUUCACCUCACCUCAUCAUGGAAGCGUUUUAUCAUCUCACCUCAAGAAAGGGGACAGCACCGAAAAGCUGGGGACCACUGCUUGGGACUGAGACUGACGUGCCCAACAUGUCCAUCUGACUUACGAAGAAGAGGUGUGGGUGGUCGUCCGGCUCGGACUCUGCAUUUCAGGAUUGUUAGAUAUUUAUCACUUUACUUUUUAUGACCUAUGACAUAACUGCAGAAAUUAAGAAUAGGAUUGCAUUUGGAAACUCAGUGUUUUCAUUUGAAUGGUCAAUCCCGCCUCCCCCAACUUUGAGGCAAAACAAGACUGAGUUUAAUCAUCUUUCAGUGAGUUGUUUUCUCUCACACUUUCAUCCAGUUCAACAUCUAAGUAAAUCCACAUUGCUAACAGAUUAGUUUUUUGGAACAAAGGGAAUCUGUGAAGACUUUUCAGAUUCAGAAAAGAUUUUGUUCUAGAAGCAAUAGGAAACUAACACAGGGACCUGUGUUCCAUCUUGACACAUGUCUUUCACGCCCCUAAGACAGAAAACGAAAAAGCAGUGAAUUUGUGCCUGCUCUUAAAGCUUCGACCAGAAGCCUAGGGAUGAGAAUAUACGUUAUGCUUUUGCUAAUCUGUGAGUUACUUCAUUAUUUUCUGACUGUUUUUCAAGCCUCUUACCUCAUCUGUAUAUCCAGUUCCCUCCAUUAAAAUUCCAAUUGCUUUCUGGGUUCCUGGUUGGACCCUGGCUGAAACCCCGAGUAACCCAGAAUUUGACAAGCACACUGCUUACAAGGGCAGCUCUGGGCAAAGCGAUGUCCUUAGGGUUCCAAGCAGUAGAUGGGAAAAGACUGUAGUGAAAAAUAACACAAACCAGCAGAUUCAAGACAAGAGUGGAUAGAGGUGUAGGAUGGCCAGAUAAAAUGCAGGUCCGUCUCCUGCAAUCGGUAGACUGUCUAAUUCUUUGUUGUCAGGGCUGUCUUGUGUCUUUGUACGGUGUUUAGCAACAUCUGGAAUAUGCUUAUACUAAAAGAUUAUUCAUUGUUUAUGUGAAAUUCAAAUUUAAUCAGGUGUCCUGCGUUUUUGUUUGCUAAACCUGACAAACCUAAUAGAGAAUAAGCUCAUGUUGAGAGCUGGCUUCAAUGCUGGACUGUGCAGGAAUAAAUAUGGGGGCACAAGGGUCAGUUUUGGAAAGAAGUUGGGUGCUGGAAUCAGACCUUGAUUGGAGUCUUUUUAUAAGCCUCAGUUAUUGUGACUGAGGCAAUUAUGAAAUACGGGGUAGUCCAAUCAGAGGACUGUGGAAUGAAAGCUUGGGAAAAUGCCUGUGCAUGUGUGUUUGCAUGAUUGAAUGUAUAAAUGAGUUGCAGAAACUUACCUGAAAUAAUGGCCUAAGUCUAGCAGUUGCUAGAGAAAUAGUCUCAAUUAUUUAGGAGUUUAAAGAUAGAUAGAUG
Ailuropoda melanoleuca (giant panda) is the source of this 1795-nucleotide long non-coding RNA. RefSeq lists it as uncharacterized. The record is from RefSeq and is a predicted model, not a curated record. The transcript has 4 exons. Lineage: Eukaryota; Metazoa; Chordata; Mammalia; Carnivora; Ursidae.